CAUUUUAUUAUCUCAGUCCCUACCUGGGUUAGGUGGACCUCACAGGAGAUCUGAAGGUGCAUUUUAUUAUCUCAGUCCCUUCCUGGGUUAGGCUGACUUCACAGGAGAUCUGAAGGUGCAUUUUAUUAUCUCAGUCCCUUCUUGGGUUAGGCUGACCUCACAGGAAAUCUGAAGGUGCAUUUUAUUAUCUCAGUCCCUUCCUGGGUUAGGCGGACCUCACAGGAGAUCUGAAGGUGCAUUUUAUUAUCUCAGUCCCUUCUUGGGUUAGGUGGACCUCACAGGAGAUCUGAAGGUGCAUUUUACUAUCUCAGUCCCUUCUUGGGUUAGGCGGACCUCACAGGAGAUCUGAAGGUGCAUUUUAUUAUCUCAGUCCCUUCCUGGGUUAGGCCGACCUCACAGGAGAUCUGAAGGUGCAUUUUAUUAUCUCAGUCCCUUCCUGGGUUAGGCUGACCUCACAGGAGAUCUGAAGGUGCAUUUUAUUAUCUCAGUCCCUUCUUGGGUUAGGUGGCCCUCACAGGAGAUCUGAAGGUGCAUUUUAUUAUCUCAGUCCCUUCCUGGGUUAGGUGGACCUCACAGGAGAUCUGAAGGUGCAUUUUAUUAUCUCAGUCCCUUCCUGGGUUAGGCUGACUUCACAGGAGAUCUGAAGGUGCAUUUUAUUAUCUCAGUCCCUUCUUGGGUUAGGCUGACCUCACAGGAAAUCUGAAGGUGCAUUUUAUUAUCUCAGUCCCUUCCUGGGUUAGGCGGACCUCACAGGAGAUCUGAAGGUGCAUUUUAUUAUCUCAGUCCCUUCUUGGGUUAGGUGGACCUCACAGGAGAUCUGAAGGUGCAUUUUACUAUCUCAGUCCCUUCUUGGGUUAGGCGGACCUCACAGGAGAUCUGAAGGUGCAUUUUAUUAUCUCAGUCCCUUCCUGGGUUAGGCCGACCUCACAGGAGAUCUGAAGGUGCAUUUUAUUAUCUCAGUCCCUUCCUGGGUUAGGCUGACCUCACAGGAGAUCUGAAGGUGCAUUUUAUUAUCUCAGUCCCUUCUUGGGUUAGGUGGCCCUCACAGGAGAUCUGAAGGUGCAUUUUAUUAUCUCAGUCCCUUCCUGGGUUAGGUGGACCUCACAGGAGAUCUGAAGGUGCAUUUUAUUAUCUCAGUCCCUUCCUGGGUUAGGCUGACUUCACAGGAGAUCUGAAGGUGCAUUUUAUUAUCUCAGUCCCUUCUUGGGUUAGGC
RNAcentral lists this long non-coding RNA (1214 nucleotides) under Pelobates cultripes (western spadefoot toad). The record is from RNAcentral. Lineage: Eukaryota; Metazoa; Chordata; Amphibia; Anura; Pelobatidae.